Molecule: ribosomal RNA, 431 nt
Filed under: uncultured bacterium
Lineage: Bacteria
Description: partial 16S ribosomal RNA
Rfam family: Bacterial small subunit ribosomal RNA
Source: RNAcentral
AACGAACGCUGGCGGCAGGCUUAACACAUGCAAGUCGAACGCCCCGCCAGGGGUUUGGCGCUCGGCUGAGUAACGCGUGGAUAUUAGCCUGUUGGUUCGGAAUACCCCCGGGCGACUGGGGCUAGUACCGGAUGGUUCAUACGGGGUAAAGAUUUAUCGCCAAAAGGUGAGUCCGCGUACGAUUAGCUAGUUGGUGAGGUAAUGGCUCUCCAAGGCGACGAUCGUUAGCUGGUCUGAGAGGACGAACAGCCACACUGGGACUGAGACACGACCCAGACUCCUGCGAGAGGCGGCAGUGAGUAAUAUUGGACAAUGGGCGCAACCCUGAGCCAGCCAGGCCGCGUGAGUGAUGAAGGCCUUCGGGUCUUAAAGCUCUUUUGGCGAAGACUUUUAUGACGGUACCCGCAGAAUAAGCCCCGGCUAACUUCGUG